CAGCAGCCGCGGGAAAACGUAGGGUGCAAGCGUUAAUCGGAAUUACUGGGCGUAAAGCGUGCGCAGGCGGUUUGUUAAGACAGAUGUGAAAUCCCCGGGCUCAACCUGGGAACUGCAUUUGUGACUGGCAAGCUAGAGUCUGGCAGAGGGGGGUGGAAUUCCGCGUGUAGCAGUGAAAUGCGUAGAUAUGCGGAGGAACACCGAUGGCGAAGGCGGCAACCUGGUCCGAUACUGACGCUGAGGCGCGAAAGCGUGGGGAGCAAACAGGAUUAGAUACCCGCGUAGUCCCUGUCUCUUAUAC
RNAcentral lists this ribosomal RNA (301 nucleotides) under uncultured bacterium. RNAcentral's name for it is "partial 16S ribosomal RNA". It matches the Rfam family "Bacterial small subunit ribosomal RNA", at positions 509 to 807 of the family's 1533-position model. The record is from RNAcentral.